UGUAUCUGAAGCCUGACGAGGAUGAGAACCUCCGGGGGCAAGAGGUUCGACCCGAGCGAAGCGAGAGAACGUUGCGUCAGCAACGGCCCGCAGGGCGAGCCAUCCUCUAUCACUGGCAG
Molecule: small RNA, 119 nt
Filed under: Salmonella enterica
Lineage: Bacteria; Pseudomonadati; Pseudomonadota; Gammaproteobacteria; Enterobacterales; Enterobacteriaceae
Also listed under: 6 other names
Description: RtT sRNA
Rfam family: RtT RNA
About the family: This family represents a bacterial cis-regulatory element known as RtT RNA. The exact function of RtT is unknown although it is thought that it may be involved in changing the cellular response in relation to amino acid starvation.
Source: RNAcentral